UACGGAGGGUGCAAGCGUUAAUCGGAAUUACUGGGCGUAAAGCGCACGCAGGUGGCUGAGUCAGUCGAUUGUGAAAACUCUGGGCUUAACCCAGAGCCUGCAUUCGAAACUGACGAGCUGGAGUUCUGGAGGGGAAAGCGGAAUUCCUGGUGUAGCGGUGAAAUGCGUAGAUAUCUGCAGGAACACCCGUGGCGAAAGCGGCGCGCUGGACCACUACUGACGCUGAGGAACGAAAGCUAGGGGAGCAAACAGG
Molecule: ribosomal RNA, 253 nt
Filed under: uncultured prokaryote
Description: partial 16S ribosomal RNA
Rfam family: Bacterial small subunit ribosomal RNA
Source: RNAcentral